RNAcentral lists this small RNA (80 nucleotides) under uncultured Coprococcus sp. RNAcentral's name for it is "GA-cis RNA". It matches the Rfam family "GA-cis RNA". The record is from RNAcentral. Lineage: Bacteria; Bacillati; Bacillota; Clostridia; Lachnospirales; Lachnospiraceae.
AAGGAGGUGCCAUGUGUCUAAGACACAUAUCGGAAUGUACCGACGACAUGCCGCCGACGUAAGGAGAGGGCGACACCAAU